GACGAACGCUGGCGGCGUGCUUAACACAUGCAAGUCGAACGGAGUGGCGAACGGUUAGGUAACAAGGGGGUGGUCACACGUGCGCAUCGGGAUAAGCUUGGGAAACUGGGUCUAAUACCGGGGGGGGCAAGAUGAGCUGGGGUCCGAUCAGCUUUUUGGUGGGGUAAUGGACUAGCAAGGCGUCGACGGGUAGACGGCCUGGCAGGGUGUACUGCCCCAUUGGGACGGAGAUGCGGCACAGACGACUACGGGAGGCAGCAGUGGGGAAUAUUGCACAAUGGGCGGAAGCCUGAUGCAGUGACGCCGCGUGGGGGAUGAAGGCCUUCGGGUUGUAACCUCCUUUCGACAGAGACGCGGUACCUGUAUAAGAAGCCCCGGCUAACUACGUGCCAGCAGCCGCGGUAAUUC
RNAcentral lists this ribosomal RNA (408 nucleotides) under uncultured bacterium. Its description in RNAcentral is "partial 16S ribosomal RNA". It matches the Rfam family "Bacterial small subunit ribosomal RNA", at positions 28 to 526 of the family's 1533-position model. The record is from RNAcentral.